CACGUAGGGUGCGAGCGUUGUCCGGAAUUAUUGGGCGUAAAGAGCUCGUAGGCGGUGUGUCGCGUCGGCCGUGAAAACCUGCAGCUUAACUGUGGGCUUGCGGUCGAUACGGGCAUCACUGGAGUUCGGCAGGGGAGACUGGAAUUCCUGGUGUAGCGGUGAAAUGCGCAGAUAUCAGGAGGAACACCGGUGGCGAAAGCGCUUGUCUGGCCCAAUACUGACGCUGAUGCGCGAAAGCUAGGGGAGCAAACGGG
RNAcentral lists this ribosomal RNA (254 nucleotides) under uncultured bacterium. Its description in RNAcentral is "partial 16S ribosomal RNA". It matches the Rfam family "Bacterial small subunit ribosomal RNA", at positions 524 to 776 of the family's 1533-position model. The record is from RNAcentral.